RNAcentral lists this ribosomal RNA (423 nucleotides) under uncultured bacterium. Its description in RNAcentral is "bacterial SSU rRNA". It matches the Rfam family "Bacterial small subunit ribosomal RNA", at positions 773 to 1205 of the family's 1533-position model. The record is from RNAcentral.
ACGCAAUAGAUACCCGGGUAGUCCACGCAGUAAACGAUGCAUACUAGGUGUGGGGGGUACCGAGCCCCUCCGUGCCGCAGCUAAACGCAAUAAGUAUGCCGCCUGGGGAGUACGGCCGCAAGGUUAAAAACCUCAAAGGAAUUGACGGGGGCCCGCACAAGCAGCGGAGCGUGUGGUUUAAAAUUCGAUGCAACGCGAAGAACCUUACCUAGGCUUGACAUGACGGUGCAAGCACUGGAAACAGUGCCCUCCUUCGGGACACCGCCACAGAUGUUGCAUGGCUGUCGUCAGCUCGUGUCGUGAGAUGUUGGGUUAAAGUCCCGCAACGAGCGCAACCCUCGUGGUCUGUUGCAGAUUUCAGACCAGACUGCCUACAAAACUAGGAGGAAGGUGGGGAUGACGUCAAGUCCGCAUGGCUCUUAC